Molecule: small RNA, 132 nt
Filed under: Escherichia coli
Lineage: Bacteria; Pseudomonadati; Pseudomonadota; Gammaproteobacteria; Enterobacterales; Enterobacteriaceae
Description: RtT sRNA
Rfam family: RtT RNA
About the family: This family represents a bacterial cis-regulatory element known as RtT RNA. The exact function of RtT is unknown although it is thought that it may be involved in changing the cellular response in relation to amino acid starvation.
Source: RNAcentral
AUUCUGCCCAUGCGGGGAAGGACGAGAAGCUUCGACCAAGGUUCGACUCGAGCGUCAGCGAGAGAGCGUUGCCGCAGGCAACGACCCGUAGGGCGAAGCGCGCAGCGCUGAGUAAUCCUUUCCCCACCACCA